Molecule: ribosomal RNA, 253 nt
Filed under: uncultured bacterium
Lineage: Bacteria
Description: partial 16S ribosomal RNA
Rfam family: Bacterial small subunit ribosomal RNA
Source: RNAcentral
CACGUAGGGCGCAAGCGUUGUCCGGAAUUAUUGGGCGUAAAGAGCUCGUAGGUGGUUUGUUACGUCUGCUGUGAAAACCUAGGGCUUAACCCUGGGCUUGCAGUGGAUACGGGCAGACUAGAGGUAGGUAGGGGAGAAUGGAAUUCCUGGUGUAGCGGUGAAAUGCGCAGAUAUCAGGAGGAACACCGGUGGCGAAGGCGGGUCUCUGGGCAAUUCCUGACGCUGAGGCGCUAAAGCGUGGGGAGCAAACGGG